GUGACGAUGCGACGCUGCGUGGAGGAUGAAGGCUUUCGGGUUGUAAACUCCUGUCAUGAGGGAAAAGCCGCACGGAUGUUAAUACCAUUUGUGCCCGAUGGUACCUCAAGAGGAAGCGACGGCUAACUACGUGCCAGCAGCCGCGGUAAUACGUAGGGUGCGAACGUUGUUCGGAAUCACUGGGCAUAAAGGGCGCGUAGGCGGUCUGAUAAGUCAGGUGUGAAAUCCCUCGGCCUAACCGAGGAACUGCAUUUGAUACUGUCAGGCUAGAGUACAGGAGGGGAGAGUGGAAUUCCUGGUGGAGCGGUGAAAUGCGUAGAUAUCAGGAGGAACGCCGGCGGCGAAAGCGACUCUCUGGCCUGUUACUGACGCUGAGGCGCGAAAGCUAGGGGAGCAAACGGGAUUAGAUACCCCGGUAGUCCUAGCCCUAAACGAU
Molecule: ribosomal RNA, 436 nt
Filed under: uncultured anaerobic ammonium-oxidizing bacterium
Lineage: Bacteria
Description: bacterial SSU rRNA
Rfam family: Bacterial small subunit ribosomal RNA
Source: RNAcentral